Schizopora paradoxa is the source of this 90-nucleotide non-coding RNA. The record is from the annotation of a GenBank genome assembly. Lineage: Eukaryota; Fungi; Basidiomycota; Agaricomycetes; Hymenochaetales; Schizoporaceae.
GGGCACAUGGUGUAGAUGGUUAUCACGCUCGCUUAGCAUCGUCAAAGCGAGUCCUGCGAGAGGUCUCCGUUUCGAGUACGGAUGUGUCCA